This 165-nucleotide ribosomal RNA is filed under the name uncultured bacterium. Its description in RNAcentral is "partial 16S rRNA". It matches the Rfam family "Bacterial small subunit ribosomal RNA", at positions 355 to 511 of the family's 1533-position model. The record is from RNAcentral.
UAGGGAAUCUUCCACAAUGGGCGAAAGCCUGAUGGAGCAACGCCGCGUGUGUGAUGAAGGGUUUUCGGCUCGUAAAACACUGUUGUAAGAGAAGAAUGACAUUGAGAGUAACUGUUCAAUGUGUGGCGGUAUCUUACCAGAAAGGAACGGCUAAAUACGUACCAG